RNAcentral lists this ribosomal RNA (454 nucleotides) under uncultured bacterium. RNAcentral describes it as "bacterial SSU rRNA". It matches the Rfam family "Bacterial small subunit ribosomal RNA", at positions 64 to 507 of the family's 1533-position model. The record is from RNAcentral.
GAACGGUAACAGGAAGAAGCUUGCUUCUUUGCUGACGAGUGGCGGACGGGUGAGUAAUGUCUGGGAAACUGCCUGAUGGAGGGGGAUAACUACUGGAAACGGUAGCUAAUACCGCAUAACGUCGCAAGACCAAAAAGGGGGACCUUCGGGCCUCUUGCCAUCGGAUGUGCCCAGAUGGGAUUAGCUAGUAGGUGGGGUAACGGCUCACCUAGGCGACGAUCCCUAGCUGGUCUGAGAGGAUGACCAGCCACACUGGAACUGAGACACGGUCCAGACUCCUACGGGAGGCAGCAGUGGGGAAUAUUGCACAAUGGGCGCAAGCCUGAUGCAGCCAUGCCGCGUGUAUGAAGAAGGCCUUCGGGUUGUAAAGUACUUUCAGCGGGGAGGAAGGGAGUAAAGUUAAUACCUUUGCUCAUUGACGUUACCCGCAGAAGAAGCACCGGCUAACUCCGUG